CCUACGGGUGGCUGCAGUCGAGAAUCUUCGGCAAUGGGCGCAAGCCUGACCGAGCAAUGCCGCGUGCGGGAUGCAGGCCUUCGGGUUGUAAACCGCUGUCGAGGGGGAUUAAGAGCAAUUUGAAUGAUCCCUGGAGGAAGGGUCGGCUAAUCUCGUGCCAGCAGCCGCGGUAAUACGAGAGACCCGAACGUUAUUCGGAAUUACUGGGCUUACAGAGUUCGUAGGCGGCUCAGAAAGUUGGGUGUGAAAUCCCUCGGCUCAACCGAGGAAUUGCGCUCAAAACUACUGAGCUUGAGGGGUAUAGAGGUAAGCGGAACUGAUGGUGGAGCGGUGAAAUGCGUUGAUAUCAUCAGGAACACCGGUGGCGAAGGCGGCUUACUGGGUACCUCCUGACGCUGAGGAACGAAAGCUAGGGGAGCGAACGGGAUUAGAUACCCGAG
Molecule: ribosomal RNA, 440 nt
Filed under: uncultured bacterium
Lineage: Bacteria
Description: bacterial SSU rRNA
Rfam family: Bacterial small subunit ribosomal RNA
Source: RNAcentral